AAGAAAAUAUAUUCCUAUCAUUAUGCUAAGGAAAAAGAAUGUCUCCUAAAAUCGUGCUAAUUAAUUUACAAAAACAAAUCUUACAACAACAUUUUCUAGACAUCUUAAUCGGAAGUGCAAACAAAAAUUUUCGUAUUCCGAAUCCUAUGAGAAAUGGUGGGGUGGGAACGAAGCAAGUUGUCGUUGUACAGAUUUAAAUCAAGCUAUGUCUUUGAUGGCAUUAUUCAGCAUUGUGUUGUAUAUUAAGGACCAAAUAUCUGGU
Molecule: unclassified non-coding RNA, 262 nt
Filed under: Hevea brasiliensis (rubber tree)
Lineage: Eukaryota; Viridiplantae; Streptophyta; Magnoliopsida; Malpighiales; Euphorbiaceae
Source: RNAcentral